GUGAAAUUCAUAAAAAACAGGCUCAGGAACACUUUAGCCCAAAAGAACCUUGAGGCAUUCAUGCUCAUGUGCACUGCGAAAGAAAUUCUCACGUCUUUGGACAAUGACACGGUCAUAAACAAAGUUGCAGAGACCAGUGCACUGAUCAGAAAUGCCUCAAGUAAUCGUCAUGACAAAGUCAGAUUUAACAUGCCGAGUGGUUCAACAGGACAUAAGGAAGCUCUACACCAGCAAUAAGAUCAAAGAGAAGAUGGAAAAGUGUAGUAAUCGGCUAGGGAUUACCAUGAAUCACAUCUUCCCUGUGAAGAACUACCAUGAGGAAAUAUGGAUGGAUCUUCCGAUUCUCAAGGCAAUUGAUCAGAUUCUGAACAUUGCUGCUGACAAGUUGAAGAAACAAUCCUUUAACUCUGGUGACACAACUGAGUAGAGACCCAGAUCAAAAUGUAUCAGGGAAUCUAAUCUUACCCAAAGUGCUUUACAGAGCAUUUAAAAACCACAGUAGGAGACACAGUUACUGCUAAAUGGAGAAUAGUACCAAGUAUGCGUUGCUAAAAUAAGUGUAAUGCUAUAUUUUGUAUUUU
Hemibagrus wyckioides is the source of this 581-nucleotide long non-coding RNA. RefSeq lists it as uncharacterized. Lineage: Eukaryota; Metazoa; Chordata; Actinopteri; Siluriformes; Bagridae. The transcript is spliced from 3 exons. The record is from RefSeq and is a predicted model, not a curated record.